AAUUGUAGUUUAAAGAAGCGUUUUCGGUGGCAGCCUGGGUAUAAAUCCUUUGGAACAGGGUAUCAUAGAGGGUGAGAAUCCCGUCUUUGACUCAGUGCAUGCUACUAUGUGAUACGUUUUCAAAGAGUCGAGUUGUUUGGGAAUGCAGCUCAGAAUGGGUGGUAAAUUUCAUCUAAAGCUAAAUAUUGGNGAGAGACCGAUAGCGAACAAGUACCGUGAGGGAAAGAUGAAAAGAACUUUGAAAAGAGAGUUAAACACUGCGUGAAAUUGUUGAAAGGGAAACGCUUGACACCAGUCAUGCGAGCGGAAAAUCANUCUUUUGCAGUGGGGAGUUGUGUGGGUUCNGACCGCAAGGGCNGCCUGCGCUGCAUCUCUGCUGUAAGUGAUGCACUUUUUCGUUUGCAGGCCAACAUCANUUUCUUCUGCUGGACAAAACUCUUGAGAAGAUGGCAGCUUAAGCUGUGUUAUAGCUCUUGAGCGAUACAGUGGAGGGGACUGAGGUUUUC
Molecule: ribosomal RNA, 506 nt
Filed under: soil fungal sp. DM2-214
Lineage: Eukaryota; Fungi
Description: eukaryotic LSU rRNA
Rfam family: Eukaryotic large subunit ribosomal RNA
Source: RNAcentral